AGUAGUAGAUACUACAAGAAAGUUUGAUUCAUAUUCAUGAUUCAUCAUGAUUCAUUACUGAUGUAAGGAAGCCAUCUUGACAUUACAAACCAAGGGCAAAGCAGAUGAUAUGGAGUGCUGCUGACCUAGAUGUCAUACGUAAGACUCAAAAAGCUGUGGCAUAAGCCCCUGACCCUUCCAGGGAUGAUGCAUUCUUUGAUAGAGAUGGGAAAUAGACUUCAAGAAGACUCCCAGCUGAGUGCAGAGCCCAACAUGGGGUUAGAUCUCACGAUCCACGAGUCAUGACCUGAGCUGAAA
Molecule: long non-coding RNA, 297 nt
Organism: Lutra lutra (Eurasian river otter)
Lineage: Eukaryota; Metazoa; Chordata; Mammalia; Carnivora; Mustelidae
Exons: 3
Source: RefSeq, a predicted model, not a curated record